UGUUAUUGCUUGUGUAGCGAGCUGCCUUGCUGUCGGACCAUGUGCUCCUAAUGAAGACUUUUUAGCUAUCUUGAAGGCCAUUCACAAGUCACCAUCUUAUAAAAGUCUUAAUGGUGAACAACAAGUUAUGCUAUCAGAAUUAUUUGCCGAGGCUGCCUCUUGUCAACUCACAGCUUAUAUUCAAGUCAUUGGUUAUGCCAAAGUCCUGGCUCUGAUUGACCAUUUAUCGACAUCUGAGGCUCAUUUCCUCAGUAAUUACUUGCAACAGCAUCUAGCAUGGGAACAGUCUCUGGGCAGUAUUGUUACAGGACCGGCAAAACAGAAUUCCACCACUACACCCACCCCUAGUACCAAAUAAACGUCUG
Molecule: long non-coding RNA, 365 nt
Organism: Patella vulgata (common limpet)
Lineage: Eukaryota; Metazoa; Mollusca; Gastropoda; Patellidae
Exons: 3
Source: RefSeq, a predicted model, not a curated record